AAUAAAAAAUGCUCCAGCAGUACCGACAGCAUGUAUGUAACAGGCGUUACCCUGAUUUGUACCAGUAUUAUCACGCUCCUGUUAACAGUUGGACUUGGAAUAUUCAUCAGUCGAAAUGGUAGACUGCCUUGUAUCAAAGGUCAGCAUCUGAAACAAAGGGAAUUUCAGAACGUGCAACUUUCAGAACGAGCUGUGACACCCAAUGAAGAGGAAGACGAACGGUAAUCUUGUUUGAACAUUCAACACUUACUCAAAACAACAUUUCAGCGUUAUGGUUUGGUUUUAUUUUAUUCAAAGUCCAAUUAACAGCUCACUGAAAAACAAUGCCGAAUGCACCCAGCAUAGCAUUCCGUCCGGUCACAUUGUA
Mizuhopecten yessoensis (Yesso scallop) is the source of this 367-nucleotide long non-coding RNA. RefSeq lists it as uncharacterized. The record is from RefSeq and is a predicted model, not a curated record. Lineage: Eukaryota; Metazoa; Mollusca; Bivalvia; Pectinida; Pectinidae. The transcript has 4 exons.